Molecule: ribosomal RNA, 416 nt
Filed under: Acanthotrema alboisidiatum
Lineage: Eukaryota; Fungi; Ascomycota; Lecanoromycetes; Ostropales; Graphidaceae
Description: SSU rRNA
Rfam family: Bacterial small subunit ribosomal RNA
Source: RNAcentral
GAGCAGUGAGGAAUAUUGGUCAAUGGCCUAACGGCUGAACCAGCAACUUGGAGGAAUGUACAGGGAAAGCUGGUAAAAUGCAAUGUACCUGGUAAUAUUAGUAAUUAAUAUGAGAUUAACUUAGUUAAUUAAAAUUCAAAGUAGAUAUAUGAUUAUGACAAUAUUUGCUUAUUUCUUGACCAAUUCACGUGCCAGCAGUCGCGGUAAUACGUGUAAGAUUAGUGUUAUUCAUAUUUAACAGGUUUAAAGGGUACCUAGACGGUUAAUUAAGCUUUAAAAAGUACUAAUUAACUAGAGUUUAAUGUAAGAAUGAUUGAGUACGGUGAGUUUAGAGAUAAAAUUCUAUGAUACCACUUAGGAACUGGUAAAGGCAAAGGCAACUUUCUAUGUAAAAACUGACGUUGAAGGACGAAGGA